RNAcentral lists this ribosomal RNA (410 nucleotides) under uncultured bacterium. RNAcentral's name for it is "partial 16S ribosomal RNA". It matches the Rfam family "Bacterial small subunit ribosomal RNA", at positions 338 to 795 of the family's 1533-position model. The record is from RNAcentral.
CCUACGGGAGGCAGCAGUGAGGAAUAUUGGUCAAUGGGCGCGAGCCUGAACCAGCCAAGUCGCGUGAGGGAAGACGGUCCUAUGGAUUGUAAACCUCUUUUGUCGGGGAGCAAAAGACGCCACGCGUGGCGUUCCGAGAGUACCCGAAGAAAAAGCAUCGGCUAACUCCGUGCCAGCAGCCGCGGUAAUACGGAGGAUGCGAGCGUUAUCCGGAUUUAUUGGGUUUAAAGGGUGCGCAGGCGGAAGAUCAAGUCAGCGGUAAAAUUGAGAGGCACUCGGAAUUCGGGGUGUAGCGGUGAAAUGCGUAGAUAUAGCGAGGAACACCAGUGGAGAAGGCGGAUUGCGGGACAGUAACUGACGCUGAGGCGCGAAAGCGUGGGGAGCAAACAGGAUUAGAUACCCUUGUAGUC